CCUACGGGAGGCAGCAGUAGGGAAUAUUGCUCAAUGGGGGAAACCCUGAAGCAGCAACGCCGCGUGGAGGAUGAAGGUUUUCGGAUUGUAAACUCCUUUUGUUAGAGAAGAUAAUGACGGUAUCUAACGAAUAAGCCCCGGCUAACUCCGUGCCAGCAGCCGCGGUAAUACGGAGGGUGCAAGCGUUACUCGGAAUCACUGGGCGUAAAGAGGGCGUAGGCGGGAUAGCAAGUCAGAUGUGAAAUCCUAUGGCUUAACCAUAGAACUGCCUUUGAAACUGUUAUUCUAGAGUAAGGGAGGGGUUAGGGGAAUUCCUUGUGGAAGGGUUAAAUUCGUAGAGAUCAAGAGGAAUACUCAUUGCGAAGGCGACCUGCUAGAACAUAACUGACGCUGAUGCGCGAAGGCGUGGGGAGCAAACAGGAUUAGAUACCCCAGUAGUC
This 440-nucleotide ribosomal RNA is filed under the name uncultured bacterium. RNAcentral's name for it is "partial 16S ribosomal RNA". It matches the Rfam family "Bacterial small subunit ribosomal RNA", at positions 338 to 795 of the family's 1533-position model. The record is from RNAcentral.